Molecule: RNA transcript, 1286 nt
Organism: Cebus imitator (Panamanian white-faced capuchin)
Lineage: Eukaryota; Metazoa; Chordata; Mammalia; Primates; Cebidae
Gene name: pumilio homolog 3-like
Exons: 1
Source: RefSeq, a predicted model, not a curated record
AAACCCUAUGGGAACACAUUUCAGCUUUACAAGUCAGUAGAUCACUCAACUCUGGACAAAGUAUUAGAGGUACAGCCAGAAAAAUUAGAGCUUAUUAUGGAUGAAAUGAAACAGAUUCUAACUUCAAUGACCCAAAAGGAAGCUGUGAUUAAGCACUUUUUGGUGCAUAAAGUAUUCUUGGUCUUUUUUACCUAUGUACCCCCCAAACUCAGAUCAGAAAUGAUAGAGGCCAUCUGUGAAGCGCUGGUAUACCUGGCACACACACACGAUGGCGCCAGAGUGGCCAUGAAGUGCCUGUCGCACAGUACCCCCAAAGACAGGAAAGUGAUUGUGAAAACAAUGAAGACUUAUGUUGAAAAGGUGGCUAAUGGCCAAUACUCCCAUUUGGUUUUACUGGCGGCAUUUGAUUGUAUUGAUGAUACUAAGCUUGUGAAGCAGAUAAUCAUAUCAGAAAUUAUUCGUUUGUUGCUUAACACAGUAAAUGAUAAAUAUGGAAGGAAGGUCCAAUUAUACUUACUAAGCCCCAGAGAUCCUGCACAUACAGUUCGAGAAAUCAUUGAAGUUAUGCAAAAAGGAGAUGGAAAUGCAAACAGAAAGAUAUAGAGGUCCACAGACGGGAGCUCCUAGAAUCCAUUUCUCCAGCUUUGUUAAGCUACCUGCAAGAACACCCCCAAGAGGUGGUGCUAGAUAGUGUGCGUGUGUGUUGAUGUCUGACAUUCUGGGAUCUGCCAUUGGAGAUUUUCAGCCUGCCAUGAAUGCCAUCGCCAGCUUGGCAGCAACAGAACUGCAUCCUGCUGGCAGGAUGGAGAGCUUCACACGGCAGAACAUCCUGCAGGACAUCUAGUUCUGAAGUGGCUAAUAGAACAAGAUAAAAAGAUGAAAGAAAAUGGGAGAGAAGGUUGUUUUGCAAAAACACUUGUAGAGCAUGUUGGUAUGAAGAACCAAAAGUCUUGGGCUAGCGUAAAUCAAGGUACCAUUAUUCUUUCCAGCCUCCUCCAGAGUUAUGACCCAGAAGUUGCAAAGUCAAAGCUGAACUGAAAAGCUUGAUUCCUACAUUGGAAAAAACCAAACACCAGCAAAGGAAUAGAAACUCUACUUGAAAAACUGAGCACAUAGGUGGAAAGAGUUAAGAGGAAGAUGGAAUCAUUUGUUCUGUUCUCUGUUCUGUUUCCCAAUGCAGAAAAGAAGGGCUAGGGUCCACCGUACUGGUAAUUGGGGUGCUCUGUAUAUGUGUUUCUUCAUUGUAUAUAAAUUUAUUUAUAUAAAUUGUUUUUAAAAAUGGUCUU